RNAcentral lists this ribosomal RNA (440 nucleotides) under uncultured bacterium. RNAcentral describes it as "partial 16S ribosomal RNA". It matches the Rfam family "Bacterial small subunit ribosomal RNA", at positions 338 to 795 of the family's 1533-position model. The record is from RNAcentral.
CCUACGGGGGGCAGCAGUGGGGAAUAUUGCACAAUGGGGGAAACCCUGAUGCAGCGACGCCGCGUGAGCGAUGAAGUAUUUCGGUAUGUAAAGCUCUAUCAGUAGGGAAGAAAAUGACGGUACCUAACUAAUAAGCCCCGGCUAACUACGUUCCAGCAGCCGCGGUAAUACGUAGGGUGCAAGCGUUAUCCGGAUUUACUGGGUGUAAAGGGAGCGUAGACGGCUGUGCAAGCCAGAUGUGAAAGCCCGGGGCUCAACCCCGGGACUGCAUUUGAAACUGUGUGGCUGGAGUGUCGGAGAGGCAGGCGGAAUUCCGAGUGUAGCGGUGAAAUGCGUAGAUAUUAGGAGGAACACCGGUGGCGAAGGCGGCCUGCUGGACGAUGACUGACGUUGAGGCUCGAAAGCGUGGGGAGCAAACAGGAUUAGAUACCCCUGUAGUC